CGCGUAGGUGGUUCUUCAAGUCAGAUGUUAAAUCUCCUGGCUUAACUGGGAGCUGUCAUCUGAUACUGCUGGACUUGAGGGCGGUAGAGGGAGGUGGAAUUCCCGGUGUAGUGGUGAAAUGCGUAGAUAUCGGGAGGAACACCAGUGGCGAAAGCGGCCUCCUAGGCCGUUCCUGACACUGAGGCGCGAAAGCGUGGGGAGCGAACAGGAUCAGAUACCCUGGUAGUCCACGCCCUAAACUGUGGAAACUAGGUACAGGGAGUAUCGACCCUUCCUGCGCCGUAGCUAACGCGUUAAGUUUCCCGCCUGGGGACUACGGUCGCAAGACUAAA
Molecule: ribosomal RNA, 332 nt
Filed under: uncultured bacterium
Lineage: Bacteria
Description: bacterial SSU rRNA
Rfam family: Bacterial small subunit ribosomal RNA
Source: RNAcentral